RNAcentral lists this ribosomal RNA (536 nucleotides) under uncultured bacterium. RNAcentral describes it as "partial 16S ribosomal RNA". It matches the Rfam family "Bacterial small subunit ribosomal RNA", at positions 355 to 883 of the family's 1533-position model. The record is from RNAcentral.
UGGGGAAUUUUGGACAAUGGGCGAAAGCCUGAUCCAGCAAUGCCGCGUGUGUGAAGAAGGCCUUCGGGUUGUAAAGCACUUUUGUCCGGAAAGAAAUCCUUGGCUCUAAUACAGUCGGGGGAUGACGGUACCGGAAGAAUAAGCACCGGCUAACUACGUGCCAGCAGCCGCGGUAAUACGUAGGGUGCAAGCGUUAAUCGGAAUUACUGGGCGUAAAGCGUGCGCAGGCGGUUUGCUAAGACCGAUGUGAAAUCCCCGGGCUCAACCUGGGAACUGCAUUGGUGACUGGCAGGCUAGAGUAUGGCAGAGGGGGGUAGAAUUCCACGUGUAGCAGUGAAAUGCGUAGAGAUGUGGAGGAAUACCGAUGGCGAAGGCAGCCCCCUGGGCCAAUACUGACGCUCAUGCACGAAAGCGUGGGGAGCAAACAGGAUUCAGAUACCCUGGUAGUCCACGCCCUAAACGAUGUCAACUAGUUGUUGGGGAUUCAUUUCCUUAGUAACGUAGCUAACGCGUGAAGUUGACCGCCUGGGGAGUAC